GCAGCAGCGCCGCCUGCAGGUGGAAGCAGAGGGACGCGCCGGCUGACGAAGCGCGAGCUGAGGGGCAUAAUCGCGCUGAAGCCGGAGCCGUUCCCGGAGGACGACUACCUGGACGGCCUGGCGGGGUCCUUCCCGCCAGAGUGGAUCGAGCAGAAGAAGCGGGAGCACGCGGAGGACGCGGCCUCCUUGGGGAAGAUGGACGAGGAGUACGAGGCGUUCCGGCAGAAGGUGAUCAAUGGGGUCAAGGAGAAGGGCUCCUUCGAGGUCGACGUGAACUUCCUCGCCGGCGAGGGGAGGACCAAGGGAUACGUCAGUAAACGAUUUGCCAGCAUGGACCCGAGUGAAAUCGCUCGCCGUUUCUCUACCCGUGAGGAAGAGCAAGGUGAUGGUUACAAUGCCUACGUUCGUGACGAGGAGGAUGCUCUAGUCAGCGAUGGAGACGAUGCUGAUUCUCAACAAGGAGAUGAUGAUGAUGGGGCCGAUUGA
This 486-nucleotide ribosomal RNA is filed under the name Triticum aestivum (bread wheat). RNAcentral describes it as "partial small subunit ribosomal RNA". The record is from RNAcentral. Lineage: Eukaryota; Viridiplantae; Streptophyta; Magnoliopsida; Poales; Poaceae.